GAAUGGGCGAUGAAAAGGAAUAGUAGUUGCAAAGGAAAUUCCACAGAGAGAGAAUCCGCGGCGCUGAAAGAUUCUUGUUUUGAAAUGCGAUGAACCUACCUUGGAGCCACUGUGCGAAAGCACAGCGUUUCAUCAGCGUUAAUGGUGAUCAGAGAGAGCUGCGAAAGGGUCGCAGUUAACUAGGGUGGUACCGCCGAGCUUUUCGGUCCCUUUU
RNAcentral lists this non-coding RNA (214 nucleotides) under [Clostridium] hylemonae. Its description in RNAcentral is "Clostridium hylemonae T-box sequence". It matches the Rfam family "T-box leader". Rfam says of the family: Uncharged tRNA acts as the effector for transcription antitermination of genes in the T-box leader family. T-boxes are found upstream of many aminoacyl-tRNA synthetase genes and some amino acid biosynthetic genes usually in Gram-positive bacteria. The anticodon of a specific tRNA base pairs to a specifier sequence within the T-box motif, and the NCCA acceptor tail of the tRNA base pairs to a conserved bulge in the T-box antiterminator hairpin. The record is from RNAcentral. Lineage: Bacteria; Bacillati; Bacillota; Clostridia; Lachnospirales; Lachnospiraceae.